AGCCUACGGGACGCAGCAGUGAGGAAUAUUGGUCAAUGGGCGCAGGCCUGAACCAGCCAAGUCGCGUGAGGGAAGACUGCCCUAUGGGUUGUAAACCUCUUUUAUAAGGGAAGAAUAAUGACUACGUGUAGUCAGAUGCCCGUACCUUAUGAAUAAGCAUCGGCUAACUCCGUGCCAGCAGCCGCGGUAAUACGGAGGAUGCGAGCGUUAUCCGGAUUUAUUGGGUUUAAAGGGUGCGUAGGCGGAUUUGUAAGUCAGCGGUAAAAAUGCGGUGCUCAACGCCGUAUCGCCGUUGAAACUGCGGG
This 305-nucleotide ribosomal RNA is filed under the name uncultured bacterium. Its description in RNAcentral is "bacterial SSU rRNA". It matches the Rfam family "Bacterial small subunit ribosomal RNA", at positions 335 to 639 of the family's 1533-position model. The record is from RNAcentral.